AUGCAAAGACAUGGAUUGGAUGGAUCCAUUGUCCAUAGCAUACCCUAAACUAAACCCUCCAUUCCAAACUCAACCAAAGUCGUUCAGAGAGAGUGUUUACACAAAGCCUGAACCUCAACCUAAAGUGAAAAACACACACACUUGCUAGUCCCUUCACAAUCACAAGGUUGAAGAAGACAUGGCCGAGGAUCGCAGCCUCCCUCCACGCGCCUCCAUUCCCUCCGCCGAUAACUCCGUUUGGGCCGAUGUCUCCCCUCUCCUCCAAGCCGCCUGCCAAGAUCUUCAAGAGGGAGAGCUUAUUCAUGGAGACAACUUCAAUCUUUUUGCCGCCAUGUCCGCAUUGGAGAUAAUGGACCCGAAGAUGGAUUCUGGAAUUGCUUGUACAUACUACUCUCUCGAUGAAGCCAUUGAGAAUGGUGUUGCUCCUGUUCCUAUUAGUGCGGAUAAAACUACUGAUGUUCGAUGCAUGAUUGACAUCAUGGACCAUCUACUUGCCUGUGAGGCAACAUGGCACAAGGGUCAUUCAUUGGCACAAACUGUUUAUUCUUGCCUCUAUCUUCUACGACCGGAAAGAACAUCGUCGCAUGCUCUGUUGCACUCUUACUGUAAAGUCAUACGUGCAACCUGCAAAGCAAUUCUUUCAGUUGUCUCAGAAGCUCGAACACAUGAAGAAGAGGAUCUAUUUACCAUGGCAUAUGGCCUUCCUUUGAGUGGAAAUGGGGAUGAAAAGUGUUUAUCAAUGCUAAAUGCUGUUGAAGAAACAAUAUCUCGCCAAUUGCGUGCUUGUAAGGCUUCAUCGUCAAAAAGAAGAGUGUCAGAAGAUGUUGAGCCGCUUCAAAAUAAUCCUGAUCUGGAAGAAGGCUACUGCAAAGCGCUGUUGUGUCGAUUACGUUUUCGUAAGCAUUUUUACCAUCUUUUGAUGUCUAUGAAACGACCCCAAGGAAGAGGUUUGGAGUUGGCAAGAAAACACAUAGCUUCAUGCAUUUCAGAGAUUGAUUACAUUUGGAAAUCUUCAGAAUUUCUUAGAGCUAAUGCUCAUGGAAUGUCUGAACAAAACAUAGACAAUACAACUGCAUCUGGUUGUCAACCAAUUGGCUUUGAUGCUAGUUUAAACUGUAGAUUAUCUGCCCCAACACCACCCCGGUCAAUCAAAAUUCUUUCUUUGGAAAAGGCCCUCGAAUAUUUCAUGAAACUCCUUCAAGACCUGGACGUUAUAUGUUCAUACUCAUUGGACCCAUCAUUGGAAGCUGCUUUACUCUUUGUGAUUAAAUUCCAGAAAUCUCAACCUGAUUUGGUUGCUAGAGCCCAUCUUCAGCUUCUGCUGGUCCAGGACGGGAAACUCUAUGGUCGGGAUCCUAUGUUUUCUAUGAUCACUAGAGCUGCUGGAUUACCUGAAGUCACAGAGAAUCAUGACAUUCAGAAAAAUGAAUUUAUGGUGCAACUAGGACAGUUGGUGAUAAAUUUACUCAAAAUUCUUUGUACAAAUGCUGCAUGGCAAAGGCGUAAGCUAGGGAAAAUGUUACAAGACUGGCGUGUCACCUAUGUACAGCUGGAGAUGGCUUUUAAAGGAGAGUUUGCAGAAGCCUCAAAAACUUCAAACAAUAAGAAAAUAUGUUUCAAAAUAUACCAACACAUUCUCGCAUGGGUAGAAGAGCAAACUUAUUGGAUAGCUUUUCGAUUUCUCAAUUUGGGAUUUGAAUUGGAGCUCUACUCUGUCCAUGACUAUUGCAUGGUAUACUGGUAUAUUUAUGUUGUGUUGAUCAAGCUUGCAGAGAAGAAACAUCUCCGGAUGGCAAUGAGCAGUGACUCUGCUAAGAAGAAGACAAAGAAAAAAAGGGAUUCUUUUAAGGAUGGGGAAAUGGAUUAUCAGAUCCCGGCAGCUGUUUUGUUUCUUCAAAGCCAAAUAUAUCUUGCUGAAGGGCUAAGCAUGCUAUCCAAUUAUUUUUCUAGAUGUUUGCUGCUUUGAGGAAUGAGCGCAGAAUAGUUCCACUGCAAAGCCCUUUCAACACAGAACAUGAGAUAUUUAUUCAGCAAUUCGAGCUUUUACAGAAAGCUUGCGUUCCUGAUCACAUCUCAUAUGUGACAUUCAAGGAGUCAACUAUGCAUGCUAAUUUCUCUACCCUAGCCAUCUGCGAUCACUUCAAGGAAGCUCAGAAGAUAGCAAAAGAGGUGAAAAGUAGUUUUGCCAAUGACCCUGACACGAUGGCCGAGCUGCGUAGAGUAGAGCAAGUAGCAGAACGCAACAGCAUUGCCUUGAAUGUUUGUCGGGCAGGAGCCCUUGAUCCAAAGUUGAAGACUUUUUUUACAUUCUGUCAUCAUCCUUUCUAUGCUACUGCUAUUGUGAAGAGAUCCUGAUAGUAGAUUCAACCAAUUUUGAAACAUUUUAUAGGGUGUUAGGAGCAAAUGAGUUGUGGCAUUAGCAGUUGUAACACUAGUAUUUAUUCAAACAAUUUUUGUGGUUCAUAUUAUUAGAUUGAAAUUGUAAUUUUUUUAUCAUAAGGAAAUAAAACAAAUAUUUAUGGUAA
Molecule: RNA transcript, 2525 nt
Organism: Glycine soja
Lineage: Eukaryota; Viridiplantae; Streptophyta; Magnoliopsida; Fabales; Fabaceae
Gene name: N-alpha-acetyltransferase 35, NatC auxiliary subunit-like
Exons: 16
Source: RefSeq, a predicted model, not a curated record